Molecule: ribosomal RNA, 253 nt
Filed under: uncultured bacterium
Lineage: Bacteria
Description: partial 16S ribosomal RNA
Rfam family: Bacterial small subunit ribosomal RNA
Source: RNAcentral
UACGAAGGGGGCUAGCGUUGUCCGGAAUCAUUGGGCGUAAAGAGCGCGUAGGCGGCCAGAUAAGUCCGGUGUGAAAGUCAAAGGCUCAACCUUUGAAUGCCGCUGGAAACUGUCUGGCUAGAGUCCGGGAGGGGCGAGUGGAAUUCCUGGUGUAGCGGUGAAAUGCGCAGAUAUCAGGAGGAACACCAAUGGCGAAGGCAGCUCGCUGGAACGGUGCUGACGCUGAGGCGCGAAAGCGUGGGGAGCAAACAGG